GAUGAACGCUGGCGGCGUGCUUAACACAUGCAAGUCGAGCGAAGCGUUUUAAAGGAAGUUUUCGGAUGGAAUUUAAAAUGACUUAGCGGCGGACGGGUGAGUAACGCGUGGGUAACCUGCCUCAUACAGGGGGAUAACAGUUAGAAAUGACUGCUAAUACCGCAUAAGCGCACAGUGCUGCAUAGCACAGUGUGAAAAACUCCGGUGGUAUGAGAUAGACCCGCGUCUGAUUAGGUAGUUGGUGAGGUAACGGCCCACCAAGCCGACGAUCAGUAGCCGACCUGGGAGGGUGACCGGCCACAUUGGGACUGAGACACGGCCCAAACUCCUACGGGAGGCAGCAGUGGGGAAUAUUGGACAAUGGGGGAAACCCUGAUCCAGCGACGCCGCGUGAGUGAAGAAGUAUUUCGGUAUGUAAAGCUUUAUCAGCAGGGAAGAAAAUGACGGUACCUGACUAAGAAGCCCCGGCUAACUACGUGCCAGCCGCCGCGGUAA
Molecule: ribosomal RNA, 495 nt
Filed under: uncultured bacterium
Lineage: Bacteria
Description: partial 16S ribosomal RNA
Rfam family: Bacterial small subunit ribosomal RNA
Source: RNAcentral